This 302-nucleotide unclassified non-coding RNA is filed under the name uncultured Alternaria. RNAcentral describes it as "partial contains 5.8S ribosomal RNA, internal transcribed spacer 2, and large subunit ribosomal RNA". The stretch from base 1 to 102 matches the Rfam family "5.8S ribosomal RNA", at positions 53 to 154 of the family's 154-position model. The record is from RNAcentral. Lineage: Eukaryota; Fungi; Ascomycota; Dothideomycetes; Pleosporales; Pleosporaceae.
AUGCGAUACGUAGUGUGAAUUGCAGAAUUCAGUGAAUCAUCGAAUCUUUGAACGCACAUUGCGCCCUUUGGUAUUCCAAAGGGCAUGCCUGUUCGAGCGUCAUUUGUACCCUCAAGCUUUGCUUGGUGUUGGGCGUCUUUUGUCUCCAGCUCGCUGGAGACUCGCCUUAAAGUCAUUGGCAGCCGGCCUACUGGUUUCGGAGCGCAGCACAAGUCGCGCUCUUGCCCAGCCAAGGUCAGCGUCCAGCAAGCCUUUUUUCAACCUUUGACCUCGGAUCAGGUAGGGAUACCCGCUGAACUUAA